CAUGUCCUUUUGAAUAUAAUUUAAGGUCUAAUCUGCUCAAUGAAAAUUUAAAUUGCCGCGGUAUUUUGACCGUGCGAAGGUAGCAUAAUAAUUAGUUUUUUUAUUGAAAGCUGGAAUGAAUGAUUGGACGAGAAAACUGCUGUCUCUGGAUGAUUUUUUUUUGAAUUUUACUUUUAAGUUAAAAGGCUUAAAUUUUUUUUAAAGACGAGAAGACCCUAUAGAGUUUAAUAUUAAACUGUUAUUUUAUUCUUUUGGUUAUUGUAAGAUAAGAUUAUUUUUAUUAUUUAGUUGGGGUGACUGGAAGAUUAAUUAAACUCUUUUUUGUGUAAUCACUGAUUUGUGAAUGUUUAAUCUAGAUUUACUAAAUUUAGAAUAAAUUACCUUAGGGAUAACAGCGUAAUUUCUUUUUAGAGUUCUUAUUGAAAAAGAAGUUUGCGACCUCGAUGUUGGAUUAAAAUUAAUUUUUGGUGUAGAAGCUAAAAUAUUAGGUCUGUUCGACCUUUAAAAUUUUACAUGAUCUGAGU
RNAcentral lists this ribosomal RNA (524 nucleotides) under Metablax acutipennis. RNAcentral's name for it is "partial 16S ribosomal RNA". It matches the Rfam family "Bacterial large subunit ribosomal RNA", at positions 1816 to 2610 of the family's 2925-position model. The record is from RNAcentral. Lineage: Eukaryota; Metazoa; Arthropoda; Insecta; Coleoptera; Elateridae.